This 443-nucleotide ribosomal RNA is filed under the name uncultured bacterium. Its description in RNAcentral is "partial 16S ribosomal RNA". It matches the Rfam family "Bacterial small subunit ribosomal RNA", at positions 338 to 795 of the family's 1533-position model. The record is from RNAcentral.
CCUACGGGUGGCAGCAGUGGGGAAUAUUGGGCAAUGGGCGCAAGCCUGACCCAGCAACGCCGCGUGAAGGAAGAAGGCUUUCGGGUUGUAAACUUCUUUUCUCAGGGACGAAGCAAGUGACGGUACCUGAGGAAUACGCCACUGCUAACUACGUGCCAGCAGCCGCGGUAAUACGUAGGGGGCAAGCGUUAUCCGGAUUUACUGGGUGUAAAGGGGGUGUAGGCGGGAAAGCAAGUCAGAUGUGAAAACCAUGGGCUCAACCUGGGGCCUGCAUUUGAAACUGUUUUUCUUGAGUGCUGGAGAGGCAGACGGAAUGCCUAGUGUAGCGGUGAAAUGCGUAGAUAUUAGGAGGAACACCAGUGGCGAAGGCGGUCUGCUGGACAGCAACUGACGCUGAGGCGCGAAGGCGUGGGGAGCAAACAGGAUUAGAUACCCGUGUAGUC